Fukomys damarensis (Damara mole-rat) is the source of this 108-nucleotide small nuclear RNA. Lineage: Eukaryota; Metazoa; Chordata; Mammalia; Rodentia; Bathyergidae. The record is from Ensembl.
GUGCUCGCUUCGGCAGCACAUACACUAAAAAUUGGAACCAUAUAGAGAAGAUUAGCACCGCCCCUGUGCAAGGAUGACAUGCAAAUUCGUGAAGCGUUCCAUAUUUUA